AUUGAACGCUGGCGGCAGGCCUAACACAUGCAAGUCGAACGGUAACAGGAAGAAGCUUGCUUCUUUGCUGACGAGUGGCGGACGGGUGAGUAAUGUCUGGGAAACUGCCUGAUGGAGGGGGAUAACUACUGGAAACGGUAGCUAAUACCGCAUAACGUCGCAAGACCAAAGAGGGGGACCUUCGGGCCUCUUGCCAUCAGAUGUGCCCAGAUGGGAUUAGCUAGUAGGUGGGGUAACGGCUCACCUAGGCGACGAUCCCUAGCUGGUCUGGGAGGAUGACCAGCCACACUGGAACUGAGACACGGUCCAGACUCCUACGGGAGGCAGCAGUGGGGAAUAUUGCACAAUGGGUGCAAGCCUGAUGCAGCCAUGCCGCGUGUAUGAAGAAGGCCUUCGGGUUGUAAAGUACUUUCAGCGGGGAGGAAGGGAGUAAAGUUAAUACCUUUGCUCAUUGACGUUACCCGCAGAAGAAGCACCGGCUAACUCCGUGCCAGCCGCCGCAGUAA
This 506-nucleotide ribosomal RNA is filed under the name uncultured bacterium. RNAcentral describes it as "partial 16S ribosomal RNA". It matches the Rfam family "Bacterial small subunit ribosomal RNA", at positions 30 to 523 of the family's 1533-position model. The record is from RNAcentral.